UACGGGGGGGGCAAGCGUUGUUCGGAAUUACUGGGCGUAAAGGGCUCGUAGGCGGCCAACUAAGUCGGACGUGAAAUCCCUCGGCUUAACCGGGGAACUGCGUCCGAUACUGGAUGGCUUGAGUGUGGGAGAGGGAUGCGGAAUUCCAGGUGUAGCGGUGAAAUGCGUAGAUAUCUGGAGGAACACCGGUGGCGAAGGCGGCACCCUGGACCACGACUGACGCUGAGUGAGCGAAAGCCAGGGGAGCAAACGGG
Molecule: ribosomal RNA, 254 nt
Filed under: uncultured bacterium
Lineage: Bacteria
Description: partial 16S ribosomal RNA
Rfam family: Bacterial small subunit ribosomal RNA
Source: RNAcentral